UACGGCGGCCAUAGCGGAGGGGAAACGCCCGGUCCCAUUCCGAACCCGGAAGCUAAGCCCUCCAGCGCCGAUGGUACUGCACUCGACAGGGUGUGGGAGAGUCAGGACACCGCCGAAC
This 118-nucleotide ribosomal RNA is filed under the name Rhodococcus (subgen. Prescottella) defluvii. Lineage: Bacteria; Bacillati; Actinomycetota; Actinomycetes; Mycobacteriales; Nocardiaceae. The record is from RNAcentral.